UUUCCAGUUUGCAUAAGAUCUUGCAUCAGUUCCGUUGAUGAUUGUGAUGGAACGGAUGUGUUAAAGCCUUGUCGGACAUUAGAUCGGGUGGUGUUGUAAUUUGGCGAGUGUGUCGAUGGCGGAGUAAAUCCAGGCAUGGCAAAACCAGGACUAGAAUAUAUGGGGGGCUGGCUAGUAGUAGCAUGACUAGUAGUAGCUGCUGGAAAUGAUGCGGGAAGAAUAUGCGGGAAUGGUGCGGGAGGAAUAGUCGGGAAUGGAGUGGGGUAAGGAGGUGGAGUAGUAGCAGUAGGAAUAGGAGUACCAGUAGGAAUAGGAGUACC
This 320-nucleotide long non-coding RNA is filed under the name Medicago truncatula (barrel medic). RNAcentral describes it as "lncRNA gene22677". The record is from RNAcentral. Lineage: Eukaryota; Viridiplantae; Streptophyta; Magnoliopsida; Fabales; Fabaceae.